AAGAGACAGCGCCGCCGGCCGUGGGGAGCGGACGCAGCGAUUUGCUCCCCUUCGCGCAGCAACCCCCACACCCAGCACCAGGAGCCUGUUCCUCUCACACCCUCACCUGGCUGAGCCGCAGUAGUUCUUCAGUGGCAAGCUUUAUGUCCUGACCCAGCUAAAGCUGCCAGUUGAAGAACUGUUGCCCUCUGCCCCUGGCUUCGAGGAGGAGGAGGAGCUGCUUUCCCCAUCAUCUGGAAGCGGCUACAGGAAGCUGUGUCUGUUCGAUUUGGUGGGAGGAGAUGUGCAGGGAGCUGUAUCUUAUCCUCCGCUUGUGAAAAACUCAAGGAUGUGGAGAAGAGUAGACCGUGGAACCCUGCCCUUCUGCAACCAAGCUGAGGGGCAGGAUGCGUAUGGGACAGUGGUAGAGAAGCAGGGGAUAGACGCAUAGGCUGCAACAAAGGUCACUCUGUCCCUGGACACUGC
This 465-nucleotide long non-coding RNA is filed under the name Pongo abelii (Sumatran orangutan). RNAcentral's name for it is "lincRNA". The stretch from base 109 to 192 matches the Rfam family "mir-22 microRNA precursor family". Lineage: Eukaryota; Metazoa; Chordata; Mammalia; Primates; Hominidae. The record is from RNAcentral.